GUGGGGAAUUUUGCGCAAUGGGGGAAACCCUGACGCAGCAACGCCGCGUGGAGGAUGAAAUCCCUUGGGAUGUAAACUCCUUUCGAUAGGGAAGAUAAUGACGGUACCUAUAGAAGAAGCCCCGGCUAACUUCGUGCCAGCAGCCGCGGUAAUACGAGGGGGGCAAGCGUUGUUCGGAAUUAUUGGGCGUAAAGGGUGCGUAGGCGGUUUGACAAGUCUUAUGUGAAAUCUCUGGGCUCAACCCAGAGUCUGCAUGGGAAACUGUCGGGCUUGAGUAUGGGAGAGGUGAGUGGAAUUUCCGGUGUAGCGGUGAAAUGCGUAGAUAUCGGAAGGAACACCUGUGGCGAAAGCGGCUCACUGGACCAUAACUGACGCUGAUGCACGAAAGCUAGGGGAGCAAACAGG
This 405-nucleotide ribosomal RNA is filed under the name uncultured Bryocella sp. RNAcentral's name for it is "bacterial SSU rRNA". It matches the Rfam family "Bacterial small subunit ribosomal RNA", at positions 354 to 776 of the family's 1533-position model. The record is from RNAcentral. Lineage: Bacteria; Pseudomonadati; Acidobacteriota; Terriglobia; Terriglobales; Acidobacteriaceae.